UCUGCUGACACUCUGAAUAAGUAACAUUCAGUAACUUACAAAGUGGACUCUCAUCACUGGGUGUCAUUUAUAAGAGAAAUACCCUGCUUUGGGCAGUUGGUGUUGUAGCAUCAGAAUGAUAGGGGCAUUUGUUAUUAGACUUUAUUAUUCUUACACUCUGACACAUAACCAUUUGUCCAUCAUUGGAAUAGGCUGUUCUCAUAUAAAUGUGCUCAUAUAAAAAUAUCUUAUCAGGUGGAACUUGUGGAGAGGUACAUGACUACUGAGAGCUACCUAUGAGAGGGAACCUCUGCCCAGUGCCCUAUAAAGCCUCAGAAACUGCAAGGAAAUCCUGAAUUCUCUCACCCAACCCCAUGAACUCAUCAAAAAGAAAGUGAAAGAACAUUUUCCGUGUGGGUGUGUAUGUUGUGCUUCAGUUCACCGGGUGUUAGACCCAGGGGUGCAAACCACUCAGCCUGAUGAACAUCCAUUGGAACCUCAUCAACUACAACCAGGAGACUGGGUUUAUUACUGUAACCAUAUUAGCAAAUCCCCGUUGGAACCAGACCCGGACUGGCAAUCUGUUAGUUCAGGCAAAUGCCAGAGGGGCCGCUUUGUAUUUUGUUUGUGGGCCGUAUCUGAUCCUAAUUAGAACCUGCGCAGC
Molecule: long non-coding RNA, 643 nt
Organism: Xenopus laevis (African clawed frog)
Lineage: Eukaryota; Metazoa; Chordata; Amphibia; Anura; Pipidae
Exons: 3
Source: RefSeq, a predicted model, not a curated record